RNAcentral lists this ribosomal RNA (1330 nucleotides) under Staphylococcus aureus. RNAcentral describes it as "bacterial SSU rRNA". It matches the Rfam family "Bacterial small subunit ribosomal RNA", at positions 213 to 1533 of the family's 1533-position model. The record is from RNAcentral. Lineage: Bacteria; Bacillati; Bacillota; Bacilli; Caryophanales; Staphylococcaceae.
UGUCACUUAUAGAUGGAUCCGCGCUGCAUUAGCUAGUUGGUAAGGUAACGGCUUACCAAGGCAACGAUGCAUAGCCGACCUGAGAGGGUGAUCGGCCACACUGGAACUGAGACACGGUCCAGACUCCUACGGGAGGCAGCAGUAGGGAAUCUUCCGCAAUGGGCGAAAGCCUGACGGAGCAACGCCGCGUGAGUGAUGAAGGUCUUCGGAUCGUAAAACUCUGUUAUUAGGGAAGAACAUAUGUGUAAGUAACUGUGCACAUCUUGACGGUACCUAAUCAGAAAGCCACGGCUAACUACGUGCCAGCAGCCGCGGUAAUACGUAGGUGGCAAGCGUUAUCCGGAAUUAUUGGGCGUAAAGCGCGCGUAGGCGGUUUUUUAAGUCUGAUGUGAAAGCCCACGGCUCAACCGUGGAGGGUCAUUGGAAACUGGAAAACUUGAGUGCAGAAGAGGAAAGUGGAAUUCCAUGUGUAGCGGUGAAAUGCGCAGAGAUAUGGAGGAACACCAGUGGCGAAGGCGACUUUCUGGUCUGUAACUGACGCUGAUGUGCGAAAGCGUGGGGAUCAAACAGGAUUAGAUACCCUGGUAGUCCACGCCGUAAACGAUGAGUGCUAAGUGUUAGGGGGUUUCCGCCCCUUAGUGCUGCAGCUAACGCAUUAAGCACUCCGCCUGGGGAGUACGACCGCAAGGUUGAAACUCAAAGGAAUUGACGGGGACCCGCACAAGCGGUGGAGCAUGUGGUUUAAUUCGAAGCAACGCGAAGAACCUUACCAAAUCUUGACAUCCUUUGACAACUCUAGAGAUAGAGCCUUCCCCUUCGGGGGACAAAGUGACAGGUGGUGCAUGGUUGUCGUCAGCUCGUGUCGUGAGAUGUUGGGUUAAGUCCCGCAACGAGCGCAACCCUUAAGCUUAGUUGCCAUCAUUAAGUUGGGCACUCUAAGUUGACUGCCGGUGACAAACCGGAGGAAGGUGGGGAUGACGUCAAAUCAUCAUGCCCCUUAUGAUUUGGGCUACACACGUGCUACAAUGGACAAUACAAAGGGCAGCGAAACCGCGAGGUCAAGCAAAUCCCAUAAAGUUGUUCUCAGUUCGGAUUGUAGUCUGCAACUCGACUACAUGAAGCUGGAAUCGCUAGUAAUCGUAGAUCAGCAUGCUACGGUGAAUACGUUCCCGGGUCUUGUACACACCGCCCGUCACACCACGAGAGUUUGUAACACCCGAAGCCGGUGGAGUAACCUUUUAGGAGCUAGCCGUCGAAGGUGGGACAAAUGAUUGGGGUGAAGUCGUAACAAGGUAGCCGUAUCGGAAGGUGCGGCUGGAUCACCUCCUUU